This 304-nucleotide unclassified non-coding RNA is filed under the name Hevea brasiliensis (rubber tree). Lineage: Eukaryota; Viridiplantae; Streptophyta; Magnoliopsida; Malpighiales; Euphorbiaceae. The record is from RNAcentral.
GGUGUAGAUCGGCCUUGGCCUUCCUUGUUAAUGGAUCUGCGCAAUAAAGGUGAAGAUUGAUCCCUGAAAUCCAUAGAUGCUCUCUCCCGUAUCUGUUCCAGGUAAAACUUACGACGUUGUUCACUCUCACUAAGUCUCUCAGCUAAUUUCUGUGCCAGCAAUUCAGCUUCUUCUUGCUGGGCUUUGGCACGCUCCUCCCUCCUCCGAAGCUGUUCAAUGGCCCUUGCUUCACGAGCUGCACUUGAUGCUUUGCGUUCCUCUUCUCUUCUAACUUGAGCCUCUUCCUUUUUCCGCUGUGUCUCAG